Molecule: transfer RNA, 73 nt
Filed under: Lactococcus lactis
Lineage: Bacteria; Bacillati; Bacillota; Bacilli; Lactobacillales; Streptococcaceae
Description: tRNA-Met
Rfam family: tRNA
About the family: Transfer RNA (tRNA) molecules are approximately 80 nucleotides in length. Their secondary structure includes four short double-helical elements and three loops (D, anti-codon, and T loops).
Source: RNAcentral
AGCGGGAUGGAGCAGUUAGGUAGCUGUCGGGCUCAUAACCCGAAGGUCAUGAGGUUCAAAUCCUAUUCCGCAA